CCUACGGUGGCUGCAGUGGGGAAUAUUGGACAAUGGGCGAAAGCCUGAUCCAGCCAUGCCGCGUGUGUGAAGAAGGCCUUCGGGUUGUAAAGCACUUUCAGUGGGGAAGAAAGCCUUGGGGCUAAUACCCUCGAGGAAGGACAUCACCCACAGAAGAAGCACCGGCUAACUCCGUGCCAGCAGCCGCGGUAAUACGGGAGGGUGCGAGCGUUAAUCGGAAUUACUGGGCGUAAAGCGCGCGUAGGCGGUCUGAUAAGCCGGUUGUGAAAGCCCCGGGCUCAACCUGGGAACGGCAUCCGGAACUGUCAGGCUAGAGUGCAGGAGAGGAAGGUAGAAUUCCCGGUGUAGCGGUGAAAUGCGUAGAGAUCGGGAGGAAUACCAGUGGCGAAGGCGGCCUUCUGGACUGACACUGACGCUGAGGUGCGAAAGCGUGGGUAGCAAACAGGAUUAGAUACCCCAGUAGUC
RNAcentral lists this ribosomal RNA (465 nucleotides) under Vreelandella stevensii. RNAcentral describes it as "partial 16S ribosomal RNA". It matches the Rfam family "Bacterial small subunit ribosomal RNA", at positions 338 to 795 of the family's 1533-position model. The record is from RNAcentral. Lineage: Bacteria; Pseudomonadati; Pseudomonadota; Gammaproteobacteria; Oceanospirillales; Halomonadaceae.